Molecule: ribosomal RNA, 460 nt
Filed under: uncultured bacterium
Lineage: Bacteria
Description: partial 16S ribosomal RNA
Rfam family: Bacterial small subunit ribosomal RNA
Source: RNAcentral
CCUACGGGAGGCAGCAGUGAGGAAUAUUGGUCAAUGGGCGCAAGCCUGAACCAGCCAAGUCGCGUGAGGGAUGACGGUCCUAUGGAUUGUAAACCUCUUUUGUCGGGGAGCAAGGCCCGCCACGUGUGGCGGGAAGGAGAGUACCCGAAGAAAAAGCAUCGGCUAACUCCGUGCCAGCAGCCGCGGUAAUACGGAGGAUGCGAGCGUUAUCCGGAUUUAUUGGGUUUAAGGGGUGCGUAGGCGGAAGGUUAAGUCAGCGGUAAAAUUGAGAGGCUCAACCUCUUCGAGCCGUUGAAACUGGUUUGCUUGAGUGAGUGAGAAGUAUGCGGAAUGCGUGGUGUAGCGGUGAAAUGCAUAGAUAUCACGCAGAACCCCGAUUGCGAAGGCAGCCUGCCGGGGUGCGACUGACGCUGAGGCUCGAAGGUGCGGGUAUCAAACAGGAUUAGAUACCCCAGUAGUC